GAUUAUUAAUUUUUUAUAUAUUAUUUUUUCAAAAGAAAUAUUUUUAAAGAAUACAAAUUCUAACAAAAAAAAUUCAUUUUUUUGGCUUGAAAAUUAACAAAUGAUCCAAUUCAUAUAAAGAGAGAUGUUUUGAAGUUGAACUUGGAAAAAUAUUAGUUAUAAAAUAAAAAAUGUAGCAUUGAUUUUAAAUAAUUUUGUUUAAAAAAAGUAUACACAACUGGUCUGGUUCGGUCUGGUCCAGUUUGGUGCGGUGUAAAAUCAAAAUCGAAACCGAUUAGUACCAGUCCGAUUUGGUUUGGUGCCGAUUUGUUGACUUUUUUGGUUAACCAAUUUUUUUCUCUUAUUUUUAUCCGGUCUGGUUUGAUUU
RNAcentral lists this long non-coding RNA (367 nucleotides) under Prunus persica (peach). Its description in RNAcentral is "long non-coding RNA (PPER_LNC004254)". The record is from RNAcentral. Lineage: Eukaryota; Viridiplantae; Streptophyta; Magnoliopsida; Rosales; Rosaceae.